This 194-nucleotide ribosomal RNA is filed under the name bacterium enrichment culture clone petrobio1. Its description in RNAcentral is "partial 16S ribosomal RNA". It matches the Rfam family "Bacterial small subunit ribosomal RNA", at positions 338 to 524 of the family's 1533-position model. The record is from RNAcentral.
CCUACGGGAGGCAGUAGUGGGGAAUAUUGGACAAUGGGCGAAAGCCUGAUCCAGCCAUGCCGCGUGUGUGAAGAAGGUCUUCGGAUUGUAAAGCACUUUAAGUUGGGAGGAAGGGCAGUAAGCUAAUACCUUGCUGUUUUGACGUUACCGACAGAAUAAGCACCGGCUAACUCUGUGCCAGCAGCCGCGGUAAU